UUUAAUUGAAGAGUUUGAUCAUGGCUCAGAUUGAACGCUGGCGGCAGGCCUAACACAUGCAAGUCGAGCGGCAGCGGGAGGAAGCUUGCUUCCUCGCCGGCGAGCGGCGGACGGGUGAGUAAUGUCUGGGAAACUGCCCGAUGGAGGGGGAUAACUACUGGAAACGGUAGCUAAUACCGCAUAACGUCGCAAGACCAAAGUGGGGGACCUUAGGGCCUCACACCA
This 225-nucleotide ribosomal RNA is filed under the name Gibbsiella quercinecans. Its description in RNAcentral is "partial 16S ribosomal RNA". It matches the Rfam family "Bacterial small subunit ribosomal RNA", at positions 1 to 220 of the family's 1533-position model. Lineage: Bacteria; Pseudomonadati; Pseudomonadota; Gammaproteobacteria; Enterobacterales; Yersiniaceae. The record is from RNAcentral.